CCUACGGGAGGCUGCAGUGGGGAAUAUUGCACAAUGGGGGAAACCCUGAUGCAGCGACGCCACGUGAGUGAAGAAGUAUUUCGGUACGUAAAGCUCUAUCAGCAGGGAAGAAAAAAAGUCCUUUGGACUUUGGACGGUACCUGACCAAGAAGCCCCGGCUAACUACGUGCCAGCAGCAGCGGUAAUACGUAGGGGGCAAGCGUUAACCGGCUUUACUGGGUGUAAAGGGAGCGUAGACGGCAGCGCAAGUCGGGAGGGAAAUGCCGGGGCCCAACCCCGGAACUGCUGUGGAAACUGUGCAGCUGGAGUGAAGGAGAGGUAAGCGGAAUUCCUGGUGUAGCGGUGAAAUGCGUAGAUAUUAGGAGGAACACCAGUGGCGAAGGCGGCUUACUGGACUGUAACUGACGUUGAGGCUCGAAAGCGUGGGGAGCAAACAGGAUUAGAUAACCGUGUAGUC
This 457-nucleotide ribosomal RNA is filed under the name uncultured bacterium. RNAcentral describes it as "partial 16S ribosomal RNA". It matches the Rfam family "Bacterial small subunit ribosomal RNA", at positions 338 to 795 of the family's 1533-position model. The record is from RNAcentral.